This 225-nucleotide ribosomal RNA is filed under the name uncultured bacterium. Its description in RNAcentral is "partial 16S ribosomal RNA". It matches the Rfam family "Bacterial small subunit ribosomal RNA", at positions 15 to 231 of the family's 1533-position model. The record is from RNAcentral.
GAUCAUGGCUCAGGAUGAACGCUAGCUACAGGCUUAACACAUGCAAGUCGAGGGGCAGCAUGACGAUAGCUUGCUAUUGUUGAUGGCGACCGGCGCACGGGUGAGUAACGCGUAUCCAACCUUCCCAUAGCUAGGGAAUAACCUUGAGAAAGUAAGACUAAUGCCCUAUGACAUUCUUUGCAGACAUCUAAAGAGAAUUAAAGAUUUAUCGGCUAUGGAUGGGGA